GGUUCGAUCCUGGCUCAGAUUGAACGCUGGCGGGAUGCUUUACACAUGCAAGUCGAACGGCAGCACGGACUUUCGGGUCUGGUGGCGAGGGCGAACGGGUGAGUAAUGUAUCGGAACGCCUUAGUAGCGGGGGAUAAUCACGCGAAAGCGUAGCCAUUACCGUACAUUAGCCCUUCGGGGGAAAGCGGGGACCUUCGGGCUCGCACUAUUAGAGCGGCCGAUAUCGGAUUAGCUAGUUGGUGGGUAACGGCUCACCAAGGCGACGAUCCGUAGCUGGUUUGAGAGGACGACCAGCCGACACUGGGACUGAGACACGGCCCAGACUCCUACGGGAGGCAGCAGUGGGGAAUUUUGGACAAUGGGGGAAACCCUGAUCCAGCCAUCCCGCGUGUGCGAUGAAGGCCUUCGGGUUGUAAAGCACUUUUGGCAGGAAAGAAACGGCACGGGAUAAUACCCCGUGCAACUGACGGUACCUGCAGAAUAAGCACCGGCUAACUACGUGCCAGCAGCCGCGGUAAUACGUAGGUGUUGCUAAUCGGAAUUACUGGGCGUAAAGUGCGCAGGCGGCUCCUGGAAAGAAGAUGUGAACCCAGAGCUUAACUUUGGAACUGCAUUUUUAACUACCGAGCUAGAGUGUGUCAGAGGGAGGUGGAAUUCAAGGUAGCAGAAAUGCGUAGAUAAGUGAGGAACACCGAUGGCGAAGGCAGCCCCUGGGAUAACACUGACGCUCCCACCGAAAGCGUGGGGAGUAAACAGGAUUAGAUACCCUGGUAGUCCACGCUCCUAAACGAUGUCAACUAGCUGUUGGGGCCUUCGCCUGGUAGCGCAGCUAACGCGGGUGAAGUUGACCGCCUGUGAGCACGGUCGCAAGAUUAAAACUCAAAGGAAUUGAUGGGAAUUCCGCACAAGCGGUGGAGAUGAUGGGACACCUGAUGCAACGCGAAAACCUUACCUACCUGACAUGUCUGGAAUCCCGAAGAGAUUUGGGAGGUGUGCUCUGCAGAGAACCGGAACACAGGUGCUGCAUGGCUGUCGUCAGCUCGUGUCGAGAUGUUGGGUUAAGUCCCGCAACGAGCGCAACCCUUUGUCGCUGACAUGAAAGGGCACUCUAAUGAGACUGCCGGUGACAAACCGGAGGAAGGUGGGGAUGACGUCAAGUCCUCAUGGCCCUUAUGGGUAGGGCUUCACACGUCAUACAAUGGUCGGGACAGAGGGUCGCCAACCCCGCGAGGGGGAGCCAAUCCCAGAAACUCGAUCAGGGUCCGAUCGUAUUCCGAAAUCCCGACUGGUGGCAAAGUCGGAAUCGCUAGUAAUCGCGGAUCAGCAUGUCGCGGUGAAUACGUUCCGGGUCUUGUACACACCGCCCGUCACACCAUGGGAGUGGGUUUUACCAGAAGUAGUUAGCCUAACCGUAAGGAGGGCGAUUACCUACGGUAGGGAUUCAUGAUCAGUAGUCGUAACAAGGUAGC
RNAcentral lists this ribosomal RNA (1469 nucleotides) under uncultured Bordetella sp. RNAcentral describes it as "partial 16S-23S ribosomal RNA intergenic spacer". It matches the Rfam family "Bacterial small subunit ribosomal RNA". Lineage: Bacteria; Pseudomonadati; Pseudomonadota; Betaproteobacteria; Burkholderiales; Alcaligenaceae. The record is from RNAcentral.